Molecule: ribosomal RNA, 253 nt
Filed under: uncultured bacterium
Lineage: Bacteria
Description: partial 16S ribosomal RNA
Rfam family: Bacterial small subunit ribosomal RNA
Source: RNAcentral
UACGUAGGGUGCGAGCGUUGUCCGGAAUUAUUGGGCGUAAAGAGCUUGUAGGCGGUUUGUCGCGUCUGCUGUGAAAAUCCGGGGCUCAACCCCGGACUUGCAGUGGGUACGGGCAGACUAGAGUGCUGUAGGGGAGACUGGAAUUCCUGGUGUAGCGGUGAAAUGCGCAGAUAUCAGGAGGAACACCGGUGGCGAAGGCGGGUCUCUGGGCAGUAACUGACGCUGAGGAGCGAAAGCGUGGGGAGCGAACAGG